AUGUCGGUGGACAAGCCCGACGGCGGGGGGGUCUCCUCCUCUCCUUCUCUGUGCUGGGGCGGGCAGGGCGCGGACAAGGACAAGGGGCUGCAGGAGGUGAAGAACAGCUACGCCUCGGUGGACGAGUACCUAGGCGUCUUCGAGCCGCUGCUCUUCGAGGAGGGCAAACCGCAGAUCCUCCAGGGUCGCAGAAACGAGGACGAGGGGGAGGAGGAGGAUGGUGGGCUUUGCUACACUUGCCGCUUGUGUGGAUUUCUCGAUUUCCGCAUCUUGAGAGGGGUGGUGAGAUCAUCUGCGGAGUCCGAGGGUUUCCACAAGUUGUCCAUGCUGGAGACCGAUGGCCUCCGCGACAUUGUGUCACUGCCAGAGAAUGUCCUCCUCCUGCUCUCCAAAGAGAAAGAUUCUUAUGAAUAUUUAGGGGUUUUAGCUAUGUUGUUGAUCAAGAUUAAGGACAUGUACCUGCACUACAACGAGAGAUCUGGGCUGCUGUCCCCGCUGAUUGCCGAGGAUAUCUACAAAGUCAUCAUGAAGAACCUUAUAGGAAAAUGUUGUCUUUCACAAGAUGAAACAAAGCGUGCAGAGAUGCUGAGGGAGGCCCUGCCGUGGACUGGCCGAGACUGUCGAGCAUCGUGUUGA
RNAcentral lists this ribosomal RNA (636 nucleotides) under Triticum aestivum (bread wheat). RNAcentral describes it as "partial small subunit ribosomal RNA". The record is from RNAcentral. Lineage: Eukaryota; Viridiplantae; Streptophyta; Magnoliopsida; Poales; Poaceae.